UACAAACAUACACACGUAUCCAGUGCGCCUGCGCCGCUGUCUUACGUAAUGUGGGUGCAUUUGGUGGCUUUUGUUGUUUAUAUCGAAAUUUCAGCAUAUCACAGUGCAUGUCGAAAGAACUAUAAUUGCUAAUGGAGAAACUUCUCUAUAUACCAGGGGAAUCAGGCCACAGAAAAGAAAAUAGGUUCGUUUCGCGAACUUUAAAAAUUUAUUUGCACACGUUAUAUUUUCAUAUCCAAAAUGGCUUCCCCACAGAAUUAUGCCAGACGACAAAACAUAAUCGCUGGAUAAAUAAUACAAAAUGAAACCGCACAAUAAAAUAUACAGGAGAAAGAAGAAACUAUGCUGUAUAAUAAGCAGUUAUGAGGGGAAGAUUUCUCAAGUAUUCAAAUAAGUAAUUUUGAAAACAGCAGUAAUAACAUCAAGAAUAUCAUGAUAAUCAUCAACAGCAACUUCCAUUGUCAGACGUGAUAACCUAGGAGAGUGCGGAGAGAAAAGUAAUAUAUCUUUGCUUUCGAAAAGAGCGAAGCAGAUUAACUUUUGUUUCACGUCAGGUAGUACGUAAGCCCUUCAAAGCAUUUCGGGGGAAAUAAUCUGAAAUGAAAAUGGAAAAAGCUAUGGCACUAUUUGUUGUACCUUCAAAACCGACAACAGCGAAAGAAUUGUCUGAAAUAGUCAGAACUUUGACUAUACAACUAUGACCCAGGAUGUAGGUCAAAGGAGCAGGAUUGAAGGUAAGAGAGACUGUACACGAAGUUGACCUCUAUCAGCAAUGGGUUUUAUGUCGCAGUAUGGGAGUGUUGAUCGAAUUAGACUUUACUUGACAUGUGAUCAGGGCACGUGAAAAUGAACUAACGAGUCCAAGUGACCCUCGCAGGUAACAGAGCUAUAUCGGAACAGUGUCCAGCAGAAGGUGCCAUGACAAAGAGCAAAAUAUUGGUGAUUCAGGUCAGAAAAAA
Long non-coding RNA from Octopus sinensis (East Asian common octopus), 959 nucleotides. RefSeq lists it as uncharacterized. Lineage: Eukaryota; Metazoa; Mollusca; Cephalopoda; Octopoda; Octopodidae. The transcript is spliced from 2 exons. The record is from RefSeq and is a predicted model, not a curated record.